UUGAUGCCGAGCCGCUUCAGGCGAAGUCAUCAAUCCCAUGCUGCCAAGAAAAGCCCAACAGUGAGUUGGCACGGCACCCGUACCCCAAACCGACACAGGUGGGCGGGUAGAGAAUACCAAGGCGAUCGGGAGAACUAUGGUUAAGGAACUCGGCAAAUUACAUCCGUAACUUCGGGAGAAGGAUGACCCUAUUAGGGUGAAGGGACUUGCUCCCCGAGCUCGAGAGGGUGACACAAACCAGGGGGUAGCGACUGUUUACCAAAAACACAGCAGCGUGCUAAGCCGCAAGGCGCUGUAUACGCUGUGACGCCUGCCCAAUGCUGGAAGGUCACGGGGAACGGUUAGUCGAAAGGCGAAGCUGUGAACCUAAGCCCCAGUGAAUGGCGGCCGUAACUAUAACGGUCCUAAGGUAGCGAAAAUUUGUCGGGUAAGUUCCGACCUGCACGAAUGGCGUAACGACUUCCCCACUGUCUCAACCAUAGACCCGGCGAAAUUGAAGUACGAGUAAAGAUGCUCGUUAGCUGCGGAAGGACGGAUAGACCCCAUGGACCUUUACUACAACUUGAUAUUGAGCUUUGUCCUGCAUUGUGUAGGAUAGGUGGGAGACUUGGAAGCUGUGGCGCUAGCCAUGGUGGAGUCAUCGUUGAAAUACCACCCUGUGUAUGACGGGGCCCUAACCUAGGUCCAUUAUCUGGAUCAGGAACAGUGUCAGGCGGGUAGUUUGACUGGGGCGGUCGCCUCCUAAAAUGUAACGGAGGCGCCCAAGGUUCCCUCAGGCUGGUUGGCAAUCAGCCGUCGAGUGCAAUGGCACAAGGGAGCUUGACUGCGAGACCUACAAGUCAAGCAGGUGCGAAAGCAGGGCAUAGUGACCCGGCCAUCAUGUGUGGAAGUGUGGUCGCUCAACGGAUAAAAGGUACCCUGGGGAUAACAGGCUAAUCUUUCCCAAGAGUCCAUAUCGACGGAAAGGUUUGGCACCUCGAUGUCGGCUCAUCGCAUCCUGGGGCUGAAGCAGGUCCCAAGGGUUGGGCUGUUCGCCCAUUAAAGCGGUACGCGAGCUGGGUUCAGAACGUCGUGAGACAGUUCGGUCCCUAUCCUCCGCAGCCGAAGGUGUAUUGAGGAAGGCUGUCCCUAGUACGAGAGGACCGGGACGGACGGAGCUCUGGUGUGUCUGUUGUCCUGCCAAGGGCAUGGCAGAUUAGCCACCUCCGGAAGGGAUAACUGCUGAAAGCAUCUAAGUAGGAAACCCGUUCCAAGAUGAGUACACCCAUGCGGUUAACGCAGUAAGGCCCGUGACAAGACCAUCACGUUGAUAGGCCGGAGGCGUAAGCACGGUAACGUGUGUAGCCGACCGGUACUAAUCGGCCGAGGGCUUGGAUU
This 1377-nucleotide ribosomal RNA is filed under the name metagenome. RNAcentral describes it as "bacterial LSU rRNA". It matches the Rfam family "Bacterial large subunit ribosomal RNA", at positions 1563 to 2925 of the family's 2925-position model. The record is from RNAcentral.